RNAcentral lists this long non-coding RNA (2496 nucleotides) under Equus asinus (donkey). RNAcentral's name for it is "lncRNA (ENSEASG00005038059.1)". The record is from RNAcentral. Lineage: Eukaryota; Metazoa; Chordata; Mammalia; Perissodactyla; Equidae.
CGCUGCUUUCUGUGACAUUUCUAUAUUGGAGACCUAACUAACUUAAGGAUGUCAGCUUGAUUUUAAUAUUUUAUUGGCGACGUCCCCCCUGCUGAUUCAAAUACUGAACAAUUUCAGGAAAGAUUCCAUUUCUUCUUGACCUGAGAGGAAUCCCGUUUUCUUAGUGAUGAGCCGUGCCGGCAGAAUGCCAAGGGGAGCUCCUCCGCAGGUAAGAGUCCUUAUGUGCUCAGCACGUUUUAUGAACUCCGUCAGCCUCAAGUGUUGUACUCUUCCCUGGAAGUCCUGCGAUUUCUGUGAAAUCUUUUCAACGAUUCCAGCCUACAGUGAUGGUUUUCUUCAAGCUCCUACUUAGUUCACAUAGUUGAGGACUCGAUUGGUCUCUAAUUAUAGUAUAAUUGGGUUGUAAGCUCCUCCAAAGCAAGGAUUUAGCCCACUGCUAGGCCCAGAGGCGGUUUCAGUAAAUGCUUGCUGAGUGAUGGAUUUGCAGUUCUGAAUGGUUUCCAGUGAGCAGGACAAACGGGUGAAUUAGCACCGCCGAGGGAAUGCCGUCUUGGCUUACGGAGCAGGAGCAGGCCCUCAGUCUACGGGCGCUUGUCGAAGGCCGUCACUGCCAGAUAGCUGGACAGCCGAGGUAGAUGACCUAGACCCCUGACCUUUUCCCCCCACUCAUCUCUUCUCAUUUGGAAACCUACAUUUUUGACUCAGGCUUUCAAUCUCCCUUUUUCAGGUUUCAGAACAAGCAGUAGAGGGGCAGAGGUCAAAAUUUUGUGUCUGCUCUGCUAGCACCUCACUUCCCAUGGAGGCAUGGCACACAAAAAGGAGGACACGUUGCGUAUUUCAGAGCAAAUGGCCCAGGGCGCAGCUGCCAGUGAAGGAUCCCAGAUUCUACCCAAAGGCCUGAAUACCAUCGUCUUCUGCCUGGAACUGAGUCAGUAAAAGGAAAUAGGAAGCCAAACAGCAGAAGGGCACACCCUGCUUACCAGAAACGCAUUACUAAAGAAGAAAUUCCGUGGUGUACCCUUUGGCUCCUGGCCCUUGGGUCCUGUCCUGCACCAUUGACAAGGUAACAGAGACAACUUUCUGCUUCUCAGGAGAGAAAAUUUUUUAUAGGCUCUGAGGACCACUGUGGGUCCAGGGUCUUUGUGAAAGCCCUGUGGGUCAGAUAGAUGUGGGGACCACCUUAGAAGUAUGGGAUUAGGGGGCCAGCCCCAGUGGCCUAGUGGUUAAGUUUGGCACACUCUGCUUUGGCAGCCCAGGUUCAGUUCCUACAUUUUGGUGGACCUACACCACUCAUCUGUCAGUGGCCAUGCUGUGGUGGCAGCUCAUGUACAAAAAGAGGAAGAUUGGCAGUGGAUGUUAGCUCAGGGAAAAUCUUCCUCAGCAAAAAAAAGAAAGAAAUAUGGAAUUAGGAAGGGAGACUAUAAAGAAGAAAGGGGAGAUUUUGGAGAGAGGUGAUACUGUGGUUAAAGGGACAUUGGCUUUGGGAAGAGAGGGAAGAGCAAGGCUGAUAAGUUUCAAUCAAGACUCAAAUGAUUAUGGGAGACUAAGAAGUUCAAUUCAAAUUCUUUGUGAACACAAAAAUUUGUGGGGGCCUGGCCCUCUGGCCAAGUGGUUAAGUUCGCGCACUCUGCUUUAGUUGCCCAGGGUUUUGCCAGUUUGGAUCCCGGGCGCAGACCUAGCCCUGCUCAUCAGGCCACGCUGAGGUGGUGUCCCACACAGCAGAACUAAAAGGACCUACAACUAGAAUAUACAACUAUGUACUGGGGGGCUUUGGGGAGAAGAAGAAAAUUGGGGGAAGCUGUGUGCUGUAUCUCCUCAUCCUAACACUGACCACAUAUAUGGCACUCAUCUGCUCUCCCACACAACUGUAAACUCAAUGAGCACAGCACCUGUGUAUGUCUCAACUGGUGUUAUUACAGGAUAGCCCAAUGUGUUGCAUGUAGCAUGCACUCCAUACAUAUUUGUUAGUCAAAUAUCCCAGAACCAGCUAGUACUUCUGUUAUUUUCCUCUAGCAAAAACUCAGAGACUGCCUUUAUCUUGUACAAUAAAAGAAUAACCCAUAAAGUUGGAUGUAAUGUGGGAAUUAAAUAAAAUAUAAUAUUUAAUUGUGUCCUGAAGGAAACAUUUCUUGUUGUGGUAGAGAGGGAAUAAACCUCACUGUAGAUCUAAGGACUUGUCUUCUUGUAGCUCUGGUUUUGAUCUUGGUCACAUGAUCCAACAGCAGCUUUCCCACAUAUGCAAUGGGAAUAACAAAUGCUACAUUAUAUGUGAAAAUGCUUCAGAAGUAAAAGUGCCAAAUGAAUACUAGGUAUUCUUAUCAUGUAAGACACAAGUUAAACUGGAAAGAGGAACUCCAGGUACUGGAGCCAAGGCAGGUACCAUGACUUGUCUUAUUCGUCUUGCACACAACACCAGUGCCUAAGUUAGUGUGUGGUCACUAGUUGGCACUCAGGAUGUGUUUAUGGAAUUAGUGAAUGAUCCUCAGCUAAAACAUA